CGGUCAUUUAGAGGAAGUAAAAGUCGUAACAAGGUCUCCGUUGGUGAACCAGCGGAGGGAUCAUUA
Molecule: ribosomal RNA, 66 nt
Filed under: Cordyceps takaomontana
Lineage: Eukaryota; Fungi; Ascomycota; Sordariomycetes; Hypocreales; Cordycipitaceae
Description: partial 18S ribosomal RNA
Rfam family: Eukaryotic small subunit ribosomal RNA
Source: RNAcentral